This 445-nucleotide ribosomal RNA is filed under the name uncultured bacterium. RNAcentral's name for it is "partial 16S ribosomal RNA". It matches the Rfam family "Bacterial small subunit ribosomal RNA", at positions 354 to 796 of the family's 1533-position model. The record is from RNAcentral.
GUGAGGAAUAUUGGACAAUGGGCGCAAGCCUGAUCCAGCCAUGCCGCGUGCAGGAAGACGCAUCUAUGGUGUGUAAACUGCUUUUGUACGGGAAGAAACACUCCCUCGUGAGGGAGCUUGACGGUACCGUAAGACUAAGGAUCGGCUAACUCCGUGCCAGCAGCCGCGGUAAUACGGAGGAUCCAAGCGUUAUCCGGAAUCAUUGGGUUUAAAGGGUCCGUAGGCGGUUUAAUAAGUCAGUGGUGAAAGCCCAUCGCUCAACGAUGGAACGGCCAUUGAUACUGUUAGACUUAAAUUACAAGGAAGUAACUAGAAUAUGUAGUGUAGCGGUGAAAUGCUUAGAUAUUACAUGGAAUACCAAUUGCGAAGGCAGGUUACUACUUGUGGAUUGACGCUGAUGGACGAAAGCGUGGGGAGCGAACAGGAUUAGAAACCCCGGUAGUCC